This 125-nucleotide small RNA is filed under the name Marmota monax (woodchuck). Lineage: Eukaryota; Metazoa; Chordata; Mammalia; Rodentia; Sciuridae. The record is from RNAcentral.
GCUGGGCAUGGUGGUGCAUUCCUGUAAUCCCAGUGGCUCAGGAGGCUGAGGCAGGAAGACUGUGAGUUCAAAACCAGCCUCAGCAAAAGCGAGAUGCUAAGCAACUCAGUGAGACCCUGUCUCUA